This 246-nucleotide transfer-messenger RNA is filed under the name Campylobacterales bacterium. RNAcentral describes it as "partial transfer-messenger RNA". It matches the Rfam family "transfer-messenger RNA", at positions 1 to 242 of the family's 374-position model. Rfam says of the family: Bacterial tmRNA, also known as 10Sa RNA or SsrA, is named for its dual tRNA and mRNA-like properties. The record is from RNAcentral. Lineage: Bacteria; Pseudomonadati; Campylobacterota; Epsilonproteobacteria; Campylobacterales.
GGGGAUGACUUGGUUUCGACUGGAGUAGUCGGAGCUAUGUGCAUGUCGGACUGAGCAUUUCCGUUAUACGGCUCAAAUUGCAUAACUGCAAACAAUACAGAUUAUCGUCCAGCUUACGCAGUAGCGUAAGUUUUAACCCCGAUUCGUCGGAGGACUGCCUCGCUAGUAAGUGUCAUCUUAGCUAGACUUUGAGGUAUCACAUCUGAUGACUAUGCUCUGUAGAAGCCAUGCUACAGUGUGAGAAUU